GGAAUAUUGGGCAAUGGAGGAAACUCUGACCCAGCGACGCCGCGUGCGGGAUGAAGGCCUUCGGGUUGUGAACCGCUUUCAGUAGGGAAGAAGCGAAAGUGACGGUACCUACAGAAGAAGCACCGGCUAACUAUGUGCCAGCAGCCGCGGUAAUACAUAGGGUGCAAGCGUUGUCCGGAAUUAUUGGGCGUAAAGAGCUCGUAGGUGGUUCGUUACGUCGGAUGUGAAAAUCUGGGGCUCAACCCCAGACCUGCAUCCGAUACGGUCGAGCUAGAGUUUGGUAGGGGAGACUGGAAUUCCUGGUGUAGCGGUGGAAUGCGCAGAUAUCAGGAGGAACACCAAUGGCGAAGGCAGGUCUCUGGGCCAAUACUGACACUGAGGAGCGAAAGCGUGGGGAGCGAACAGGAUUAGAUACCCUGGUAGUCCACGCCGUAAACGGUGGGCGCUAGUUGUGGGAACCUUCCACGGUUUCUGCGACGCAGCUAACGCAUUAAGCGCCCCGCCUGGGGAGUACGAUCGCAAGAUUAAAACUCAAAUGAAUUGACGG
RNAcentral lists this ribosomal RNA (547 nucleotides) under uncultured bacterium. RNAcentral describes it as "bacterial SSU rRNA". It matches the Rfam family "Bacterial small subunit ribosomal RNA", at positions 358 to 916 of the family's 1533-position model. The record is from RNAcentral.